RNAcentral lists this ribosomal RNA (693 nucleotides) under uncultured bacterium. Its description in RNAcentral is "bacterial SSU rRNA". It matches the Rfam family "Bacterial small subunit ribosomal RNA", at positions 32 to 715 of the family's 1533-position model. The record is from RNAcentral.
AACGCUAGCUACAGGCUUAACACAUGCAAGUCGAGGGGCAGCAUGAACUUAGCUUGCUAAGUUUGAUGGCGACCGGCGCACGGGUGAGUAACACGUAUCCAGCCUGCCGAUGACUCGGGGAUAGCCUUUCGAAAGAAAGAUUAAUACCCGAUGGCAUAGUUCUUCCGCAUGGUAGAACUAUUAAAGAAUUUCGGUCAUCGAUGGGGAUGCGUUCCAUUAGGUUGUUGGCGGGGUAACGGCCCACCAAGCCUUCGAUGGAUAGGGGUUCUGAGAGGAAGGUCCCCCACAUUGGAACUGAGACACGGUCCAAACUCCUACGGGAGGCAGCAGUGAGGAAUAUUGGUCAAUGGACGAGAGUCUGAACCAGCCAAGUAGCGUGAAGGAUGACUGCCCUAUGGGUUGUAAACUUCUUUUAUACGGGAAUAAAGUGAGGCACGUGUGCCUUUUUGUAUGUACCGUAUGAAUAAGAAUCGGCCAACUCCGUGCCAGCAGCCGCGGUAAUACGGAGGAUCCGAGCGUUAUCCGGAUUUAUUGGGUCUAAAGGGAGCGUAGGCGGACGCUUAAGUCAGUUGUGAAAGUUUGCGGCUCAACCGUAAAAUUGCAGUUGAUACUGGCGACCUUGAGUGCAACAGAGGUAGGCGGAAUUCGUGGUGUAGCGGUGAAAUGCUUAGAUAUCACGAAGAACUCCGAUUG